Non-coding RNA from Nylanderia fulva, 2001 nucleotides. The record is from RefSeq and is a predicted model, not a curated record. NCBI's taxonomy places the organism in Eukaryota, Metazoa, Arthropoda, Insecta, Hymenoptera, Formicidae.
UUUAAAUUAUGAAGACUAUUGAUAUAUUUUUAUUAUAAUUAUUUCUAUCUUCUUUUUCCGUUUCUUACUCUUUCUGGUGUGUGUAUGAAAUUAAUAGACAAAACAAAAUUAAUAGGCAAAACAUCCACACUUGUUGCAAAACAUAGAUAAGGCAAAACUGAAAUUAUCAAAUAAACAUUCAAGUGAAGAUCCUCCGAAUAAUGUUCCAAAUAAAUGUCAAAGAUUGGAGAGAUGGGGCUCUGGGAGCUCAAUAGCUACUCAAAAAGCAGUAGAUAAAGCGAUACUGCGUUUUAUUAUUGAAGAUAUUCAACCUCUUUCUACUGUAGAUAGUCCAGCAUUCAUUAAUUUACUUAGAAUUGGACUUCCUUCACAUAUCCGUAUAAUGUGCAGAAAAACAUUAAGAAACAAAAUUUGUGAAACAUAUCAUAAAAUGAAGGCUGCUCUUGAAAAAAAAUUGACAGAAGUAGAAGUAGUUGCAACUACCGCAGAUUUGUGGAGCAAAACAAAAAGGAGUUAUUUAGGCAUAACUAUUCAUUGGGUGAAUCCCGUAACUUUCGAGAGAGAAUCAGCUGCAUUGGCUUGCCGUAGGAUGAAAGGCAGACAUACAUACGAUGUUUUAGCUCGAGCAAUUAACUCAGUCUUUCUCGAGUAUCAUAUCCAAAAUAAAGUGUGUUAUGUAACUACCGAUAGUGGAUCCAACUUUGUUAAAGCUUUUCGGAAUUUUGUAAAAGACGAGGACGAAGAUGAAACAUCUACUGCUAUAGAAUUUCACGAUUUAAGUAAUCUUUUAAUUAAAGAUGAUAUAGAAGAUAUGGAUGCAGAAGAUUCGCUUAUUCUUCCAUCACAUCAUAGAUGUGUGAGUCACAGUUUAAAUCUUGUCGCUGUAAAAGAUUCCGAGAAAGCUCUAGACAAUGAUGUUUCAUAUAAAAAACUAUACAGAUUGACAUUUGCUAAAUUAACCAAAUUAUGGAGUAAACAAAAUCAAUCUACACAAAUAUCUGACAAAAUAAAAGAAAUUUUAGGUGUCUAUUUAAAAACUCCUGUUAUUACCAGAUGGAACUCUACUUUUGAUUCUGUAAUGCAACUAGCAACAUUUUUAAAAAAUGAUCCCGACCAAAUCAAUCAAUGCCUUGAUCAUUGUAAUUUGCAACGAUUGACUGAACAUGAAAUGAAAUUCAUAGAAGAAUAUUGUCAGAUAAUGAAACCUUUAGCACAAUCUUUAGAUAUAUUGCAAAGCGAGAAAGGGAUGUAUAUGGGAUACUUAUUACCGGUCUUAAAAACAUUAAAAGAAAAAUUAGAGAAACUUAAUAAAAAUGAAAUUACGCAUUGCCAAUCAUUAAUCGCAGCUCUUUAACAAGGUUUAAAUAAAAGGUAAUUUGUUAUUUUAAUGAACAUGUUAUUUAUUAUUUUUAGAAAACAAUAUUCAUUGAUUCUGACUUCUGACUGUAUAAUUUUAGAUUUUCCUCAUUGUUUAAAAAAAAAGAACUUAUUAUUGCAAGUUGUUUGCAUCCCAAAUUUAAAUUAAAUUGGAUACAUGGAGAAGAAAAAAAACUCGCUAAAACUUAUUUAGAAGACCUAUUAGGAAUUCGUUCCACCGAGAGUUCUCUAAACGAUGAAAAUCUCAACAACGAUGACUUUUUGCUUUUGACCAGCAAACAAAAGAAGUCGAGUCUACACAAGAAGAACUGUACCGAUUCUUGAAAUCAAGUCAGCCUAAAAAUCUGGGAUCACGAUAACGAUUUCAGUUUUCUUGUGAUCUCGUUUUGAUGCUUUAUAAAUCGACUUGCGGCAUUUCGAUAUUGGCAAAAUAUAAGAUUUUCACAUAAGAAGUAAAUAUUCUCAGAAUGAUGAAAAAAUUAAUUUGUGAGAAGAAAGAGAUCAUUAUAGCUUCAUUAUAUACUAUGUGUAUAUACAAUAUAAAUAGAAACUCUAUAAUGCUCUCGAAACGUUAAAGACUUUUAUAAUUUUAAUUCUUAUAAUAAGUAAUAAUGUAUAAUUAUA